GACGAACGCUGGCGGCGUGCCUAAUACAUGCAAGUCGAGCGGAAGUUGAAGAGCUUGCUCUUCAACUUUAGCGGCGGACGGGUGAGUAACACGUGGGCAACCUGCCCUGCAGAUCGGGAUAACUCCGGGAAACCGGUGCUAAUACCGAAUAGUUUUCGCCACCUCCUGGUGGCGUACGGAAAGACGGUUUCGGCUGUCACUGCAGGAUUGGCCCGCGGCGCAUUAGCUAGUUGGUGGGGUAACGGCCCACCAAGGCGACGAUGCGUAGCCGACCUGAGAGGGUGAUCGGCCACACUGGGACUGAGACACGGCCCAGACUCCUACGGGAGGCAGCAGUAGGGAAUCUUCCGCAAUGGACGAAAGUCUGACGGAGCAACGCCGCGUGAGUGACGAAGGUUUUCGGAUCGUAAAACUCUGUUGUGAGGGAAGAACAAGUACCAACUAACUACUGGUACCUUGACGGUACCUCACCAGAAAGCCACGGCUAACUACGUGCCAGCCGCCGCGGUAA
RNAcentral lists this ribosomal RNA (511 nucleotides) under uncultured bacterium. RNAcentral describes it as "partial 16S ribosomal RNA". It matches the Rfam family "Bacterial small subunit ribosomal RNA", at positions 28 to 523 of the family's 1533-position model. The record is from RNAcentral.